This 65-nucleotide transfer RNA is filed under the name Paroedura picta. Its description in RNAcentral is "tRNA-Asp". The record is from RNAcentral. Lineage: Eukaryota; Metazoa; Chordata; Lepidosauria; Squamata; Gekkonidae.
GCUUCUAGUAAAUAUAUUACAUAGCACUGUCAGCGCUAAAUAAAAGACUGUGUCUUUGAAACCCA